Molecule: ribosomal RNA, 478 nt
Filed under: uncultured bacterium
Lineage: Bacteria
Description: partial 16S ribosomal RNA
Rfam family: Bacterial small subunit ribosomal RNA
Source: RNAcentral
GAUGAACGCUGGCGGCGUGCUUAACACAUGCAAGUCGAACGGGAAAUCUUUCCUUGAGACUUCUGUGGAUUUGAUUUAUUUCUAGUGGCGGACGGGUGAGUAACGCGUGGGUAACCUGCCUUAUACAGGGGGAUAACAGUCAGCAAUGGCUGCUCUUACCCCAUAAGCGCACAGAGCUGCAUGUCUCAGUGUUAAAAACUCCGUUGGUAUAAGAUGGAGCCGCGUUGGAUUAGCUAGUUGGUGGGGUAACGGCGCACCAAGGCGCCGAUCCAUGGCCGGGCGGAGAGGGUGAACGGCCACAUUGGGAAUGAGACACAGCCCAGACUCCUACGGGAGGCAGCAGUGGGGAAUAUAGCACAAUGGGGGAAACCCUGAUGCAGCGACGCCGCGUGAAGGAAGAAGUAUCUCGGUAUGUAAACUUCUAUCAGCAGGGAAGAUAGUGACGGUACCUGACUAAGAAGCCCCGGCUAACUACGUG